GAAUGCUGACAUAAGUAACGAUAAAGCGGGUGAAAAGCCCGCUCGCCGGAAGACCAAGGGUUCCUGUCCAACGUUAAUCGGGGCAGGGUGAGUCGACCCCUAAGGCGAGGCCGAAAGGCGUAGUCGAUGGGAAACGGGUUAAUAUUCCCGUACUUGGUGUUACUGCGAAGGGGGGACGGAGAAGGCUAUGUUGGCCGGGCGACGGUUGUCCCGGUUUAAGCGUGUAGGUGUGUGUUCCAGGUAAAUCCGGUUCACUUUAACACUGAGGCGUGAUGACGAGGCACUACGGUGCUGAAGUAACAAAUGCCCUGCUUCCAGGAAAAGCCUCUAAGCAU
Molecule: ribosomal RNA, 335 nt
Filed under: Salmonella enterica subsp. enterica
Lineage: Bacteria; Pseudomonadati; Pseudomonadota; Gammaproteobacteria; Enterobacterales; Enterobacteriaceae
Description: partial 23S ribosomal RNA
Rfam family: Bacterial large subunit ribosomal RNA
Source: RNAcentral